RNAcentral lists this ribosomal RNA (559 nucleotides) under Diaporthe lithocarpi (nom. inval.). RNAcentral describes it as "eukaryotic LSU rRNA". The stretch from base 206 to 359 matches the Rfam family "5.8S ribosomal RNA". The record is from RNAcentral. Lineage: Eukaryota; Fungi; Ascomycota; Sordariomycetes; Diaporthales; Diaporthaceae.
CUCCGUUGGUGAACCAGCGGAGGGAUCAUUGCUGGAACGCGCCCCAGGCGCACCCAGAAACCCUUUGUGAACUUAUACCUUACUGUUGCCUCGGCGCAUGCCGGCCCCCCCGGGGGCCCCUCGGAGACGAGGAGCAGGCACGCCGGCGGCCAAGUUAACUCUUGUUUUUACACUGAAACUCUGAGAAAAAACACAAAUGAAUCAAAACUUUCAACAACGGAUCUCUUGGUUCUGGCAUCGAUGAAGAACGCAGCGAAAUGCGAUAAGUAAUGUGAAUUGCAGAAUUCAGUGAAUCAUCGAAUCUUUGAACGCACAUUGCGCCCUCUGGUAUUCCGGAGGGCAUGCCUGUUCGAGCGUCAUUUCAACCCUCAAGCAUUGCUUGGUGUUGGGGCACUGCCUGUAAAAGGGCAGGCCCUGAAAUCUAGUGGCGAGCUCGCCAGGACCCCGAGCGCAGUAGUUAAACCCUCGCUCUGGAAGGCCCUGGCGGUGCCCUGCCGUUAAACCCCCAACUUCUGAAAAUUUGACCUCGGAUCAGGUAGGAAUACCCGCUGAACUUAAG